This 332-nucleotide ribosomal RNA is filed under the name uncultured bacterium. RNAcentral describes it as "bacterial SSU rRNA". It matches the Rfam family "Bacterial small subunit ribosomal RNA", at positions 568 to 898 of the family's 1533-position model. The record is from RNAcentral.
CGCGUAGGCGGUUUUUUAAGUCAGAUGUGUAAUCCCCGAGCUUAACUUGGGAACUGCAUCUGAGACUGGAAGGCUAGAGUACUGGAGAGGGUGGCGGAAUUCCUCGUGUAGCGGUGAAAUGCGUAGAGAUGAGGAGGAACACCAGUGGCGAAGGCGGCCACCUGGACAGUAACUGACGCUGAGGCGCGAAAGUGUGGGUAGCAAACAGGAUUAGAUACCCUGGUAGUCCACGCUGUAAACGAUGAACACUUGGUGUGGAGGGAGUUGACCCCUUCCGUGCCGGAGCUAACGCGUUAAGUGUUCCGCCUGGGGAGUACGGUCGCAAGGCUGAA